GAUUGAUUUCUUGAAAAGCAUAUAAAGCAAAAUGGUGUGGCAUAGAGGUUAACUUAGAUGCCUAUGUUCUUGUUCAAUAAUAAAAUGAGAAAUGUGCAGUACAAAGCUCUUUUACUGCUGUAAACUAAAAGGCUUUCUGCAUUUUCUUGGUAAGAACCUAUUAAAAAAUGUUUCAACAUUUUACAUAAAAUUAUAUAGCAUUGACGUUACAUGCAUUAGAAGUUUGAUGGCUGUAAUUUUCUGUAG
RNAcentral lists this unclassified non-coding RNA (246 nucleotides) under Hevea brasiliensis (rubber tree). The record is from RNAcentral. Lineage: Eukaryota; Viridiplantae; Streptophyta; Magnoliopsida; Malpighiales; Euphorbiaceae.